This 468-nucleotide ribosomal RNA is filed under the name uncultured bacterium. RNAcentral describes it as "partial 16S ribosomal RNA". It matches the Rfam family "Bacterial small subunit ribosomal RNA", at positions 28 to 507 of the family's 1533-position model. The record is from RNAcentral.
GACGAACGCUGGCGGCGUGCUUAACACAUGCAAGUCGAACGGAAAGGCCCUGCUUUUGUGGGGUGCUCGAGUGGCGAACGGGUGAGUAACACGUGAGUAACCUGCCCUUGACUUUGGGAUAACUUCAGGAAACUGGGGCUAAUAACGGAUAGGAGCUCCUGCUGCAUGGUGGGGGUUGGAAAGUUUCGGCGGUUGGGGAUGGACUCGCGGCUUAUCAGCUUGUUGGUGGGGUAGUGGCUUACCAAGGCAUUGACGGGUAGCCGGCCUGAGAGGGUGACCGGCCACAUUGGGACUGAGAUACGGCCCAGUCUCCUACGGUAGGCAGCAGUGGGGAGUAUUGCACAAUGGUCGGAAGCCUGAUGCAGCGACGCCGCGUGCGGGAUGACGGCCUUCGGGUUGUAAACCGCUUUCGCCUGUGACGAAGCGUGAGUGACGGUAAUGGGUAAAGAAGCACCGGCUAACUACGUG